Molecule: long non-coding RNA, 5005 nt
Organism: Monomorium pharaonis (pharaoh ant)
Lineage: Eukaryota; Metazoa; Arthropoda; Insecta; Hymenoptera; Formicidae
Exons: 2
Source: RefSeq, a predicted model, not a curated record
UGCAAUUUGUGCAUUUAAGUAAAAUGCAUAAAUGUUUGAACUGACAAAAUUUUAAUAUAAUUUGAAAAUUUUGUCAAACAACAAUUUCAACAAAAUCAACAAUUUUUUUUUCUCAGUGUACUAAUGUGGCUAUCGUUUGCUCAUUAAAUGUAACUCGACUUUUGCAAAGCUUUAAAUGCGAGAAACGUCAUCAGUUCUUAAAGUUUCGUCGAAUAUGUCUUACCAAUGAACGACAUCGAUUUCCGAAAUCGCGCACGGGGAUUAUCUUGCAAUUUUUUUUCUUUGUCGAGGCAUUAAUUUACAGGCGUAAAAAGAAAACAUGUUAUCAAUUUCAUUGUAGCAUAUUCAGAUAAAAGCAUAUGCGCUCUGUAAUAUAACGUAUGUAUAUAUAUGAGGAGCUCUUUUAAAUUAAUUGGAGAUAAAAAAAGAAAGAAAAGAUAGAUAAGCUGUAACUUGAAUUCGUAUGCCUGUAAAUGCCUAAAAAAAAUCGAGCCUAAAAGAAAUAAAUAACGCAAGUAAUGCCGCUUUACUGUAAUUGUACAGUUUUUAAAUGUAAGUCUAUAAAUUUCGUAACUCCACAAGGGACACUGCAGGUUCGCAUCCGAUAUUGUGCUCCAAAUAUAAAACUAAACCAAUUAUAAAUAUUAAAAUAAUCCUUUUGUGUUUUUAAAACUUAUUUUAAUUAUGUCGUUAUAAAUCUCGUUUCGCGAUGUCAUCUUUUAUGUCGCGCGAAAGAACUAAUUCUAAUAAUCGUAAUGAUUUAAUUAUUAACGUGAUUCUCGCAUUAUGAAACGUGUCGUGCUCACGCGAGAACAAACCUUUCGUACAGCAGUCUCAUGUAUCUACAUGGAGAAACAGAGUGAGUGGGAUGCGCGAAUCGUGCAGAAACUUAUCGCCUUUAUAGGUAAUGAUAAAGCAAAAAUUAUCAUAAGAUAAGUUUCAUAUAUGGAGGCAUGAAAGUGUAUUGUACGUAGUAUUAUAACGCGAGUUAAUUAUUAUUAAUGCAAAUAGGAUUGGUAAAAAAGAAGUUUGUUAUAUAUCGUUCUUUCUUUGCGAAAAAUAUCAAAAUUGUGUAAAAACGGAAAAAAAAGAUAAACCGUGCUCCAUUGAUAAUUUUCAUUUUUGUCCAGUAUGUAUAGGAGAUAGUUCCAGCUGGAGGUACAGCUUUCGAGAUAAGCGAGAAAAUCCGACAGAUAUUUAAUUGUAACGACGCAAGCGUUUGUCGCGCUAUAUCGAAGAGUAAUUCGGAAAAACAGAGGUACGAUUCGCAUUCGCUGCAGUUGAAAUAUUUGUCACGGACUUGACGAGUGUACGUCCCUAAGUGUCUCUUUGUUUCUCUUUUUUUUCCUUUUUUAAAGUAACUUCGCGAAAGAGACAUGUUUUUUAUAUUGACUGCGCCAGACGUCCACGCCUUUAGCUUUUUUUUUUCUUUAUCUUUUUUCCCCUAAUUAUCAUGUUUUACUUAUUCAGUUGCCAAUGUUGACGUUACAUUCCAAACGUGUAAUCGCGAGAACCGCCUUUCCACUCCUUGGACUGUCUCUGAGAGAACAUUCUUUUUUAAUCUCCCCUCCCAUUUGCUCCUCCCAGAUUCUCUUCCCUUCCCCAUAUAGCGUUGCUCGAAUGGAGCAAGAAUGUGCUGGAAUGCACGAUUUCUUUUCUUUUCUUUUUGUCCCUCAUUUCUCCUUUUAUUUUUAUUUUACAUACGCGCGCGCUUCUCGACACGCUGCACGCUCGCGAAUGAUCUCGCGAUACACCGGCUAUUACUUUGACUGAAUCACCCGAGUUGACCACAGCACACUCGCAUUGUCCUCUUACGCGAACAGUACUCUCUUUUUCCGAGCUACUCGACACGCGAGGAAACUAAAAAAAAACAAAAGAAAUUUAAAAAAGUAUAAAAAAAGAGGAAACAGAGUUAGGUGCUCCACUCGCCUUAAAUGCAAUUGAAUGCAGUCUCAGCCUGUGCCAUGUUGACCGGUUCAAAUGGCUAAAGUGAUAAGAGUUCGCGAAGACUAGUGCAAAUGUACUUGUGGAGAGAAGGACUAAAAGCGAGGAAAGAAAGAUAAAAGGAAGGGAAAGAAGAUAGGACCAUUUAAACAGUGUGUACAUAGCGAGUGUGGGGCGGCGGGGUUACGUCAACCCUCCCAACCCCCGUGUCGCACAUGUAGAGUAUACAUAAUUACUUAACAUUUCUUUUUCUUUUCUUCAUUCGAUGGACACGAAUACACACACACACGUACACGUGGGAAGAGCGCGGACAUUCAUUGCCGGACCGACCGGGAUCGACUUUUGCCUCCUCGAUCUCUGCAUCUCGCGCGAUCAGGAUCAGGCGAUUAACGACGAGACGACAACGACGAGGGAGGAGAGAAAGAGAAGGACAAGCGAACACAAAACAAAAGGAAAAAGGGGAAUGAAAAGCCAAGUUACACACGAAUACCCCGCGUGUUUUCUACUCGGAAAAGACGCACCGGAUGCCCUUUCAGUUUUUUUCGGAUACUUCUCCCUUGCUCCGUUCUGGCAUCAGCUGUCGUUAAUCGCUCGCUCGAGAACGAGAAAACGCGAGAUUCAUCUCCGGAUUUCCCGCGAUGUUCGUCGCAGCCGGAUCGUCGCGACUACUUCAAGAGAUAGUUACGCGCAACUGGCUGCCUCACCGGGACGGAGAACGCAGAACGAGGAGCAAAAGUACUCUCCCGACGGAGUCUCGAAAAGAAAUCGGAUUCGACGCUAGUCCUGCGCCGCUGUACAAUUUGUUACUCGAUAAUAACGAAAACAAAAAAAAAACGAUUCUCCUCGUAUUGUACAUACGACGCUGUAUGAUAUAAUAUUGUAUGAUUAUUACCAACGCUACCGGCAGAAUUAUUCAAUUAAGAUUACAGUUAAUGCCGCUAUUAUUAGUGAGAUAAUAAGUGAGCGGGAAUGAGUGAGCGUAAGCGUGUGUUGAACUGCGGAUCUUGCGUGUGCGCGUGAAAGGCUGUGCUGUCCAGCUGUAUAAACCUUAACGUUGCGAGCUGCGUGUGUUUGUUGCCAAAGUUCCCCCUUUCGCGAGCAUAUGAGAGAUACGGCGAUAUCUGAUUGUCGGGUCGUAUCGCAUCGAGGACGUGUUUCUUCGUCCUGGGGUGGUAAAUCGGAAGCUACGUUCGCCGCCCCUCCUCGAAACGGAAACGACUUCUCUCGGAAGAGUUGAAGCUACAUGAAGAGAGAAGGAGAAAAUUGCUCGCAAUCGUCCGCAAUUUGUCCGCUUGAUUUAAACGCUACGGCGAUAAUUCCGCAGCGUUUAGUUUCCUCUCUUUCUUCCCCUUUCUCCUCCUUCCCCUUGGAAACCGAGAGUUUUCAUUGACUCCGCGUGUAAAUCUGCCUUGACAGAUCGCCCAGGAGUACGAUAACUCUCCGUCGUCGAACGUUAUCGCAGAGCUAUUUGAAGAGGGGCGACUUUCUUCUGAGACUCCCUUUUAUAAGGAGAAUUAAUUAACGUUCCAUUAGGAUGUUAAUAUUAAGACGUCGAAACCGUCUGGACGCGUCGACCCGAACAACACAGCGUAAUAUCGUCUGCGCACUAUAUUUUUCCGUUAAACGACGACAGAUUAUUGAAGCACCGCCGUACGAGAGGGAAAAUUGUCGAGAAAGAGAGAAUGAGUGUGCGUGUGUGUGUGAAAAUCCGAAGGGAUUAUUACGAAGGAAGCGAAGAGAUAUAUCACGAUUUAUUCUCAGGUGAUGUAUUCACACACACGGUACACGUGUGGCUUACUAUUUUGUUACUAACUUGUCAGAUGUAAUGUCGAGCUAUUAUGGACCACGGAUGCGCGAAGGGUCGUUCGGAAUCGUUGCCAUGGAAUAUGAAAGAAUAUGCCGAAGUAUGUAUGAAUGAGAGUUGCAGAGAGAGAAAGAGGAAGAAUAUGAGGGAGAGAGAAAACAAAGGAAUGGAUAAGUGUUCGCUACUUCUGCACGAGAGAGAGGGAGAGAGAGAGAGAGACCGAGGCCCCUUCCCUGGAUGUAUUCUAAGAGAGGAAAGCAUGUAGUGUUUGUCAUUUGGCCUUUAUGCUGUCUUACUUGCGAUUUCGUACAAGCUUUGCGUGCAAUACUGUGAUAAAAGAAAAAAGAAUGAGUCGUUCUCUAUUUCUCUUCGUCCUUUCUCCUUUUUGAAGCGCAUGCACGUACAAUGUGUGAAAGACCGGCGCACGUAUGUAUAAAAUAUAUAUACAUAUAUAUGUCGGGAUAUAUGGGGUCGCCUGUUUUCAACCCGGUCCCUUAAAGCGAAUCGCAAAUAUUAUAUCCAUUUAAUUCCGCGUAAUUUGUUUCCGGUACAUGCGUGCACUUUUUCCGAAUUUGGGCCGGUACGAACUUUACAAUCGAUUUAUCGUGGCCUAUUUAUCGUGGCUCUUCUUUCUGCAGCGAAAUUAUUUUCGCUCUUGCAGUCUUCAUCGCGAAAAUAAUUAGUUUAAGAUUAUAUUGGCUAGACACAGUUAACUUUUGACAGUCCGUGACUGUCGGAUAAUCGCAUAAUUUUUACGGACAUCCGGGCGCAUUAGCUUCGUACUGCCAUCGCAUUGACACAUUUGUUCCUAAUUGUUGCAUCGCAAGUUUAAUAUAUAAGUUUAUAUUAUUGUUUGUUAUACAUAGAUAUAUUUUGAGUAAAGCGACGUUAGUUAUUAAAAGCGUGUCCUGAGAUAAAUAUAAUCUCAGUUCCAUAGACAGAGGAUGAUACUUAUUGUCUCUUUCAUAUUUUAUGUAAACUUCCGAAAAAUGACUAUAACCGCUAAUGACAAUUCCGCGGCAAUCGCGCGUCAACGACAAGUGGUCCUCGACAGGCGAUUUCACGGUUAUUUAGCGCGUUUAAGGGGAGGCGAUUCGAAACAGGCGGUUCUUCUGAGAGGAUAUAUAAAAAUAUGUCCAUUUUAUGCGCUUUUUGCGCGAUUAUUUUCCGAAGCUAAGCGAUAGAUCGCUAGUUUGGCGUGUUAUUUUGCAUCUGCAGAGGCUACGACCUGUGAAUAAAUGGUUUUUGUUGAAACGA